UACGGGGGGUGCAAGCGUUGUUCGGAUUUAUUGGGCGUAAAGCGCUUGUAGGCGGUUUUUUAAGUCUGAUGUGAAAGCCCCGGGCUCAACCUGGGAAGUGCAUUGGAUACUGGGAGACUUGAAUACGGGAGAGGGUAGUGGAAUUCCUAGUGUAGGAGUGAAAUCCGUAGAUAUUAGGAGGAACACCGGUGGCGAAGGCGGCUACCUGGACCGAUAUUGACGCUGAGACGCGAAAGCGUGGGGAGCAAACAGG
Molecule: ribosomal RNA, 253 nt
Filed under: uncultured bacterium
Lineage: Bacteria
Description: partial 16S ribosomal RNA
Rfam family: Bacterial small subunit ribosomal RNA
Source: RNAcentral